GACGAACGCUGGCGGCGUGCUUAACACAUGCAAGUCGAACGGAAAGGCCCUGCUUUUGUGGGGUGCUCGAGUGGGGAGCGGGUGAGUAACACGAGAGUAACCUGCCCUUGACAUAGGGAUAACUUAAGGAGACUGGGGCCCAUACCGGACAGGAGCUCCUGCUGCGUGGGGGGGAUUGGAAAGGUUCGGCGGUGGGGGGUGGGCUCGCGGAUUAUCAGCUUGUUGGUGGGGUAGUGGCUGACCAAGGCUUUGACGGGUAGCCGGCCUGAGAGGGUGACCGGCCACAUUGGGACUGAGAUACGGCCCAGACUCCUACGGGAGGCAGCAGUGGGGAAUAUUGCACAAUGGGCGGAAGCCUGAUGCAGCAACGCCGCGUGCGGGAUGACGGCCUUCGGGUUGUAAACCGCUUUCGCCUGUGACGAAGCGUGAGUGACGGUAAUGGGUAAAGAAGCACCGGCUAACUAC
This 465-nucleotide ribosomal RNA is filed under the name uncultured bacterium. Its description in RNAcentral is "partial 16S ribosomal RNA". It matches the Rfam family "Bacterial small subunit ribosomal RNA", at positions 28 to 504 of the family's 1533-position model. The record is from RNAcentral.